UGUCAGCUGAGCUGGCACAGGUUAGAGUACCAAGACUGAGCAAUCCCACAGCGUGAGCUGUGAUUGCGAAUAGUUUAGACUAAGCAAACCCACAGCGUGAGCUGUGAUUGCGAAUAGUUAUUGAAUUUCUGACCAUACCACGUGGAGCAUUGGCUACACGGCUGGAAAUGGUUCAACUCUGAGACUAUCGAACCCUACCGAAUAAGAGAAAAUCUUAGAUACUAAUUACUAGUCUGCAGCUAGAAAUUAUGUAAACCUGGGAUGUGAAUACCGACAACCGCCGAAACAUCUAUCUAUGAGAAUAUUUCUGAAUGGUACCCUGAAGUAUCCAUCUAACCAUGAAAGAAUUUGAUCUUCAGGGAAACAGAAAGAGAGAGAGAGACUUGGAAUUCUCCAGCAGACGGACCGGACUCCAACAGAGAAGAUCACGACACAUGGGUUCCACACUGAGAUUUGUGCAGAUAACCAACACUUUACGACGUUUGGAAUGAGACUGACGGGAGAGUUCCCCUCCGAAUGGUCGCUGACUGGCUUCAUGGCCUGUGUGCUGGAUCUUUGUUGCUGUGGUGACAUGGCCCUCCAGUCAUUUCUGACACUGUGAUUGGAGAAGGUCCAAGAGC
This is a long non-coding RNA of Oncorhynchus mykiss (rainbow trout), 620 nucleotides long. RefSeq lists it as uncharacterized. The record is from RefSeq and is a predicted model, not a curated record. NCBI's taxonomy places the organism in Eukaryota, Metazoa, Chordata, Actinopteri, Salmoniformes, Salmonidae.